CUUGGUCAUUUAGAGGAAGUAAAAGUCGUAACAAGGUUUCCGUAGGUGAACCUGCGGAAGGAUCAUUAAUGAGUUAUGUUCUUUAUUGAACAAUCAUCUCUAAACACAUCUGUGAACCCUCUUUUUCUCCGAUUCUUUAUUGAGUUGGAAAAAAAGGCACAAACAUUUUUUUAAAUGCUUAUUUUUACUUUAUAGUCUGAAUGAAAAAUCAAACAAACAAAUUAAAACUUUCAACAACGGAUCUCUUGGUUCUCGCAUCGAUGAAGAACGCAGUAAAAUGCGAUAAGUAAUGUGAAUUGCAGAAUUCAGUGAAUCAUCGAAUCUUUGAACGCACAUUGCGCCCUGUGGUAUUCCGCAGGGCAUGCCUGUUCGAGCGUCAUUUCAACCAAUCAAGCCUAGGCUUGGUCUUGGGGCAUGCGGGUUUUCGCAGCCUCUAAAAUCAGUGGCGGUGCUAGUUAGCUCUGAGCGUAGUAAUACUCCUCGCUAUAGAGUCUAGGUAGUGUCUUGCCAACAACCCCUAAUUUUUUCAGGUUGACCUCGGAUCAGGUAGGGAUACCCGCUGAACUUAAGCAUAUCAAUAAGCGGAGGA
RNAcentral lists this ribosomal RNA (589 nucleotides) under uncultured saccharomyceta. Its description in RNAcentral is "eukaryotic LSU rRNA". The stretch from base 226 to 379 matches the Rfam family "5.8S ribosomal RNA". Lineage: Eukaryota; Fungi; Ascomycota. The record is from RNAcentral.